RNAcentral lists this ribosomal RNA (1063 nucleotides) under Salmonella enterica subsp. enterica serovar Cerro. RNAcentral describes it as "partial 23S ribosomal RNA". It matches the Rfam family "Bacterial large subunit ribosomal RNA", at positions 711 to 1767 of the family's 2925-position model. Lineage: Bacteria; Pseudomonadati; Pseudomonadota; Gammaproteobacteria; Enterobacterales; Enterobacteriaceae. The record is from RNAcentral.
AGACCCGAAACCCGGUGAUCUAGCCAUGGGCAGGUUGAAGGUUGGGUAACACUAACUGGAGGACCGAACCGACUAAUGUUGAAAAAUUAGCGGAUGACCUGUGGCUGGGGGUGAAAGGCCAAUCAAACCGGGAGAUAGCUGGUUCUCCCCGAAAGCUAUUUAGGUAGCGCCUCGUGAAUUCAUCUCCGGGGGUAGAGCACUGUUUCGGCUAGGGGGCCAUCCCGGCUUACCAACCCGAUGCAAACUGCGAAUACCGGAGAAUGUUAUCACGGGAGACACACGGCGGGUGCUAACGUCCGUCGUGAAGAGGGAAACAACCCAGACCGCCAGCUAAGGUCCCAAAGUCAUGGUUAAGUGGGAAACGAUGUGGGAAGGCCCAGACAGCCAGGAUGUUGGCUUAGAAGCAGCCAUCAUUUAAAGAAAGCGUAAUAGCUCACUGGUCGAGUCGGCCUGCGCGGAAGAUGUAACGGGGCUAAACCAUGCACCGAAGCUGCGGCAGCGACACUAUGUGUUGUUGGGUAGGGGAGCGUUCUGUAAGCCUGUGAAGGUGUGCUGUGAGGCAUGCUGGAGGUAUCAGAAGUGCGAAUGCUGACAUAAGUAACGAUAAAGCGGGUGAAAAGCCCGCUCGCCGGAAGACCAAGGGUUCCUGUCCAACGUUAAUCGGGGCAGGGUGAGUCGACCCCUAAGGCGAGGCCGAAAGGCGUAGUCGAUGGGAAACGGGUUAAUAUUCCCGUACUUGGUGUUACUGCGAAGGGGGGACGGAGAAGGCUAUGUUGGCCGGGCGACGGUUGUCCCGGUUUAAGCGUGUAGGUGUGUGUUCCAGGUAAAUCCGGUUCACUUUAACACUGAGGCGUGAUGACGAGGCACUACGGUGCUGAAGCAACAAAUGCCCUGCUUCCAGGAAAAGCCUCUAAGCAUCAGGUAACAUCAAAUCGUACCCCAAACCGACACAGGUGGUCAGGUAGAGAAUACCAAGGCGCUUGAGAGAACUCGGGUGAAGGAACUAGGCAAAAUGGUGCCGUAACUUCGGGAGAAGGCACGCUGACACGUAGGUGAAGUGAUU